GCCAUCUAAUUUUAGGAAAAACUAGGAAACCAAUUAAAUGAUCUACGAAACCAUUAGAUUCUAAGUAAGGGGUUCAAGUGAUUCCGAAGGGAAGAUGUUAAGAAUCCUUCGAAAUCCACAAGUGUGGUUCCCAACUGAAUUCAUUUUUUUCAAAUUGAUGAAGAGAUGACACAAUAUACAAAUAAAACAAACAUGCAAUAUAUACAAAUAAUAAAGUAAAUCAAUAAUAUAAGAAACGGCUUUGCCUAACGUGAAUAAUACAAAAUAAUGAAUAAAGAAAGUUGUUCGAACUUCAUUCGAAUAGCUUCAAUGAGAAGCAAACAUGUGUACCUGUAAAGACACUUAGUAAAAGUGUUAGUAAUAAAUAAAUAUGAAUAAAAUAAAUAACAACUUAAAAUAAAAAUCCGUCUUAUUAACAUGGAAGACCUUGGAAAUCGACGGUAAUUUCUUCAUCGGCCAUUUUAACAUACAAAAUAUAUAAACUUAAACUAAAUUUCCGUCUUUUAACAAUGGAGAAGCCUCCAAAACUGACGGAGAGAUUUUCUCAUUGGUCAAUUUUAACAAACAAAACAUUAUAGGAAAGUAACAAUCAAAAAAUAAAAGAAAAAUCCCAGGCAAUUGCACCAACACCAACGAGUGAGAUACGGUCCUUAAAAUCCAAUGAUAACAAAUGUAUCCAAUAAAACAUUAAUAAAUGCUUAGUUAAAUUAAUAUUGACAAUAGAGAUGAUCCAGUAAAAUAAGAAUAAAACUCUACUAAAUGAAUUUACUACAUUGUUAAUGAAAAGUAUCAAAAAAAAUAAAAAUGACAACUACCAACUUUAUUUGACAAAAAUCACUAAACAAGUCAAAACUAAAUAUAAAAGACAAAACAACCAAAAUAAAAAAACAAAGGUUGCUGGAAACAUUUUGGAAAAAUGCAGAGACUUAAUUUAAAUAAAUUAAAUGCAACUGGAUAAGAACAAAUAUAACAAUAACAACUACAUUCCCAAAAAUCAUAAAAAAAAUUAGAGAUACUAAUGACCAUACACAACUCAAAACUCAAAACAACACUAACCUAAAUGAAUCAGUGAACCAUGAACACAAAUUUAGAGUAUCAAUUUAACAAAAUCUAACGAAUUUAGGGACUAAAGUGGAAAAUACCUGACCUAAAUCUGAAAUAAUGACGACCGGAGUUACUGAUUUUGAGAAAGCAACGGUGGUCCGACGGCGUCAACACCAUUGUUGGCGUGUUAGAGCUCGGAGUUGACGGCGUUCAUGAAUGCACCUACAACAGAAGCAGACCAUAAAGGGAAAGAGGGGAAGGGAAACAGUGAUGACCAUGGUUGGUCUUGGAUGGUUUCGCCGGAACUUUGGAGCUUCGUUUUGGUUCUAUUAUGAUGGUGGUUUCGAGUCAGGUUUGAGGAAGCAGCGAUGGCUAUUUUUUUAAGGCAGUUUGGGUCGUUUCCGGUGACUGUUUCACCGGAAAAUGGAUAAAAACGAAGGAUUUUUGGGUUUAGUUCGCUGGUCUGCUGGAAAGGGAGAAUCGUUGGGGUUUUGGGUCCGAUUUGUGGUGAUUUGGUGAUGGUUGUUGGUGGAAGAGGGGGCUGGUUUAAGGUGGCGUUUCAGGUGGUUAUUUUCUUGUUUGGUUGGCUGAUUUUAGAGCUUAGAGCUCGCGAUGGUCUGGAGUUUCGGGGUGGUUUGGUAUGCUUGUGGCUGCCGUUCGCCGGGGGUGGCGUUUGUGGUUGGUGUGGUUAGAAGAGAACAAGAGUAAAAUGGGUGUGUGAGGGAGAUCUGAUUUCUUCUUUUUUUUUUUUUGGGUGGCGGCUAUUUUGGAGGAUAGGAAUAAAUUUUAGAGUUUUUGUCAUUUAGGAAAUUCUUACCCCUUUCUAAAAAAAUAAUUCAC
Molecule: long non-coding RNA, 1884 nt
Filed under: Solanum tuberosum (potato)
Lineage: Eukaryota; Viridiplantae; Streptophyta; Magnoliopsida; Solanales; Solanaceae
Description: long non-coding RNA (STUB_LNC009412)
Source: RNAcentral